This 492-nucleotide ribosomal RNA is filed under the name uncultured bacterium. Its description in RNAcentral is "partial 16S ribosomal RNA". It matches the Rfam family "Bacterial small subunit ribosomal RNA", at positions 29 to 507 of the family's 1533-position model. The record is from RNAcentral.
AGUGGACGCUGGCGGUAGGCCUAACACAUGCAAGUCGAACGGCAGCACAGUAAGAGCUUGCUCUUACGGGUGGCGAGUGGCGGACGGGUGAGGAAUACAUCGGAAUCUACUUUUUCGUGGGGGAUAACGUAGGGAAACUUACGCUAAUACCGCAUACGACCUACGGGUGAAAGCAGGGGAUCUUCGGACCUUGCGCGAUUGAAUGAGCCGAUGUCGGAUUAGCUAGUUGGCGUGGUAAAGGCCCACCAAGGCGACGAUCCGUAGCUGGUCUGAGAGGAUGAUCAGCCACACUGGAACUGAGACACGGUCCAGACUCCUACGGGAGGCAGCAGUGGGGAAUAUUGGACAAUGGGCGCAAGCCUGAUCCAGCCAUACCGCGUGGGUGAAGAAGGCCUUCGGGUUGUAAAGCCCUUUUGUUGGGAAAGAAAAGCAGCAGGUUAAUACCCCGCUGUUCUGACGGUACCCAAAGAGUAAGCACCGGCUAACUUCGUG